This 305-nucleotide ribosomal RNA is filed under the name uncultured bacterium. RNAcentral's name for it is "bacterial SSU rRNA". It matches the Rfam family "Bacterial small subunit ribosomal RNA", at positions 337 to 638 of the family's 1533-position model. The record is from RNAcentral.
UCCUACGGGGGGCAGCAGUGAGGAAUAUUGGUCAAUGGGCUUACGCCUGAACCAGCCAAGUCGCGUGAGGGAAGACUGCCCUAUGGGUUGUAAACCUCUUUUGUCAGGGAGCAAUUGGCGCUACGUGUAGCGUUAUCGAGAGUACCUGAAGAAAAAGCAUCGGCUAACUCCGUGCCAGCAGCCGCGGUAAUACGGAGGAUGCGAGCGUUAUCCGGAUUUAUUGGGUUUAAAGGGAGCGUAGACGGCAGCGCAAGCCUGGAGUGAAAUGCCGGGGCUCAACCCCGGAACUGCUUUGGAAACUGUGC